This 468-nucleotide ribosomal RNA is filed under the name uncultured bacterium. RNAcentral's name for it is "partial 16S ribosomal RNA". It matches the Rfam family "Bacterial small subunit ribosomal RNA", at positions 28 to 507 of the family's 1533-position model. The record is from RNAcentral.
GACGAACGCUGGCGGCGUGCUUAACACAUGCAAGUCGAACGGAAAGGCCCUGCUUUCGUGGGGUGCUCGAGUGGCGAACGGGUGAGUAACACGUGAGUAGCCUGCCCUUGACUUUGGGAUAACUUCAGGAAACUGGGGCUAAUACCGGAUAGGAGCUCCUGCUGCAUGGUGGGGGUUGGAAAGUUUCGGCGGUUGGGGAUGGACUCGCGGCUUAUCAGCUUGUUGGUGGGGUAGUGGCUUACCAAGGCUUUGACGGGUAGCCGGCCUGGCAGGGUGACCGGCCAGAUUGGGACUGAGAUGCGGCCCGGACUCCUACGGGAGGCAGCAGUGGGGAAUAUUGCACCAUGGGCGGAAGCCUGAUGCAGCGACGCCGCGUGCGGGAUGACGGCCUUCGGGUUGUAAGCCGCUUUCGCCUGUGACGAAGCGUGAGUGACGGUAAUGGGUAAAGAAGCACCGGCUAACUACGUG